UGCAGUUGAGCGGUAAGGCCCCUUCGGGGGUACACGAGCAGCGAACGGGUGAGUAUCGCGUGGGUAAUCUACCUAGAGGUGGGGGAUAGCCUCGGGAAACCGAGGGUAAUACCGCACGAGUCCUCAACGGCAUAAGUCGAUGAGGGGAAAGGCGGGGCUCCUUCGGGACCUGUCGUCUCUAGAUGAGCCCGCGUCCGAUUAGCUAGUUGGUGGGGUAAUGGCCUACCAAGGCAACGAUCGGUAGCCGGCCUGAGAGGGUGAACGGCCACAUUGGGACUGAGACACGGCCCAGACUCCUACGGGAGGCAGCAGUGGGGAAUUUUGGGCAAUGGGGGAAACCCUGACCCAGCGACGCCGCGUGGAGGAUGACGGCCUUCGGGCUGUAAACUCCUGUCAGGUGGGAAGAAAAGCCAGUCGGAUAAUACCCGGCAGGAAUUGACGGUACCACCAAAGGAAGCCCCGGCUAACUCCGUGCCAGCAGCCGCGGUAAUACG
This 494-nucleotide ribosomal RNA is filed under the name uncultured bacterium. RNAcentral's name for it is "bacterial SSU rRNA". It matches the Rfam family "Bacterial small subunit ribosomal RNA", at positions 56 to 527 of the family's 1533-position model. The record is from RNAcentral.